This 5718-nucleotide long non-coding RNA is filed under the name Setaria italica (foxtail millet). Its description in RNAcentral is "long non-coding RNA (SITA_LNC002736)". The record is from RNAcentral. Lineage: Eukaryota; Viridiplantae; Streptophyta; Magnoliopsida; Poales; Poaceae.
UGAUACAGCGCUGCGGCUGCAACUGCAGCAGCCAAGUGAGGUGUUUGAGACUGAGCUGUGGGCCUUUGGCCUUUAUGCAGCUGCUUGUGCAGCCAGCAGAAGCCAACACACCGAACCUUGCAGUUGCAGGCCAUUGUAUGGGCCCUCGAAUUCUAGCGAGUCUCAAUGGAACAUGAGCACUGUAGGACUCGGAGGUCUUGAGCACUUACAUAUCCUUGCACCGCAGGAAGUCAAGAACAGCUUCAGCUCUCACCUCUCAGUUCCCCUCACGUCGCCAUCUUGCGCUGGCACCGCGGCACCGGCCCAAAUCCUCCGGCAACUGCUUCCGCGAGACUUUCGGUGCUCCUGCCGACCAAGGUUGCCGACGAUUCCUCCGCCCGGCCAGAAACUUCCAAGCAAAUCAUGGCCCACAAAGAAGCUUCCCUGAAAUUUCCCCUUUGAAUGUUGAACCUUAGGCCUUGUUUACUUCUCAAGUUGGGAGUUGCAAAAUUGGCAUUUUGCCAUAAAUGCGACACUGUAGCGUUUCGUUUGUAUUUAUGAAUUAUUGUCCAAAUAUUGACUAAUUAGGCUCAAAAGAUUCGUCUCGCAAAGUACAACAAAACUGUGCAAUUAGUUUUUGAUUUCGUCUACAUUUAGUACUCCAUGCAUGUACCGCAAGUUUGAUGUGAUGGGGAAUCUUCUUUUUGCAUAGUGUCAAAGUUGGGAGUUUGGAGGAAAGUAAACAAGGGCUUAGUCGCUAAGCAAAGAAACUUCUGCGAGCCUUCAAGAGCAUCGUUUUUCUCAGAUCCGGAGCUGCCCGUCGUCGCCCUGUCCCUAUCCCACCAGACUGCGCCAUGUCGCUCUUGGAACCUCCGAGCUCACACGCCACGACGCAUUGAGGCCCCAUUGUGCCUUGCCUCCCAGCCCGGCUGAAAAGCUUGAGGAAUCCCUCCAGUGUGGUAUGUUCAUGCCACACAAACAUACACAUAGCUCGGUCUAGCUCAUUUUGCUUCGUCGAUCAACUUCUCUGCUUUCUCAGUUCAGGUCAUUGGCAUAAGUUGCAGGUGCCCUGGAUUCAGUGACUGGAGCUAGCAAAGGUUGUUUCCAGUUCAUGCGGGACUGUAUCUAGUUUGCAAUGGAUCAAUGGUUGGAGCAAGGCUCAGAGGGCUCAGAGGGGUGUGGAUGGCCGGAACAGGUGCGGGCAACUCGGAACAUAAAUUGCAUCAUCUUACUUUGUACUCCUUCCGUUCCAAAUUACAUGUCGUUUUAGCUUUCAAUCGUUUUAGCUUUUUUUUAAUGCAUAGAACCUAGUUGACUUUUCUUAUUGUCGAUCAAUUAUAAGCACCGCCGUUGUUUCUUAUUUCCCCACCAAAACUACGCAUUGAUUUGCUAUCCAACUCAGAACACUAUAAAAUCGGACUUUUCUCCUUGCCUUUCUCCUUCUCCAGCCUUUUUAUUCGUAGAUGCAAACUUUUAUACCAAUGAAAAAUGAACAGCUUAAGUUUCGAUGCCUGAUUGGCUGAAAAUAAGUUACUUUUACCAAAAGCCAGACUCAAUUUAACAAAGAGCAAGUACAUACAUGAUAACAUUUUUACAAACAAAGAACAAAUGGCACGCAGUGUGUACGUCACCUCCAAGAUAUAGCUUGAGCGAAAACCUCGAAGGUCCGAGCAUCAAUCAUUUCAUUGGAAGUAAAGUCCUGGAAUUCUAGAGAGUUGUGAGGAUGUUUCCGGAACAAGCACGCAGAGACAAAGGUCGCCACGGUGUCAGUCGAUCUGGUGCGGGGAUAUUAAGGCACCCAGCGGAUUAUGACGUCAGCGCCGACGUGGCGUGACCGUCAGCCGUGACUUCACAGGCCAUGGCCAUGGCCCGUGGGGAGUUGCCGGUUUUUGGGACACGGAGGGAGCAUGGCGGCGCCGCGGUCCGCUGCGACCUACUCCAGGACGAGGCGAAGUCCUCUACCUCCUCCGUAGACCAUAUAUGGUCAACGGCGCGCCGGGCGCGGCGCAUCGCCGUUGGCUGCUAAAUUAUAAAACUAAUUGCAGUAUUUUUGAGCUAAUUCGCGAGACGAAUCUAUUAAAUCUAAUUAAUCUAUCAUUAGCAAAUGGUUACUGUAGUACCACAUUGUCAAAUCAUAAACUAAUUAGACUUAAUAGAUUCGUCUCGCGAAUUCAACUCCAUCUAUGCAAUUAGUUUUAUAAUUAACAUAUAUUUAAUACUUUUAAUUAGUAUCUAAACACCCGAUACGAUAGGUGCUAAACUUUUACUGGUAUCAAACACUCAUUCCCCCACAUUGUUGUUGGGAAAAGACUUGUGCGUGACGGGACGGAAGUGUCCCUGACACUCCCGCACUGCUGCGCGUAUCACCAGGAGUAGCUGGGUACGUGGUGAAUUGAUCACUGGAUGGCUACAGUUGAACGAGUCGCGGAUUUGACUCGCCUUCUGCGCUGCCAAAGAUCAGCAUCGACCGUGUGAAUAGAGGACGACAUUCUGCGCUGCCAAAGAUCAGCAUCGACGUCGACGGUCGCCGUCGUGCGUGCACGGCCGGCCACUUGCCCCGAAUCCGCGACUCGUUCAACUGGAGCCAUCCACUGGCGCAGAUUCUGCACGACCGUAUCACCAGGAGAAGCUGGUGUCACAUGGAAGUCGUCGUUGAACUAUUCGCGUGGUAAGAAAAUUCGGCGCGCAAAUCACGCCGGCUAACGACAUGACAAGUAAGCAAUUCCGUCAAGACCAUCCAUGGAGGAUGGAUGAGAUGAAAAUCCGAACCCCUAGAAAGACAGAAAGACGGAAAUAAAACGCACUGCGCACCGACCGGGCCGCCGGCCCAGACGCUCUAGCGGCGGAGCCGGAUUACCCGUUGUCGUGUGGUCGGCGAUGAAGUCACAUGAGACCGUUGCAGGGAGUAGUUGGGAAAAGUAUAACCAGUAGUAUCCGUUAUUAUCUUUUAAAAAAAAGAGUAGUAUCGAAAGUGUUGCUACCAACGGUCGAUAGAGAAGCUGAGGAAGAUGGUGAGCAACGUGCAGGCUGCUGGUGAAGUGGUGAUUACAUUGCCGGCUUUCCUGGGUAGGAAACGCAUGCCCUAUAUUUUCAACAAGUUCUAGAUAAUCCAUCCGUAGUUGUCUUGUGGUUGGUCGGUUGAAUCUCUUCAGGCUUUAACCAUGGGCGGUGAAGUUAGAUAAAAACCGUUGAUGGAGCUGAUUUGUGACCUUAAUUUCAGCCUGCUACGCUGUAGAUCCAAGCAGCCCGUUUCGGCUGCGCUGGAAAAGCCGGCUGGGCUUUUUCCAACUGCGCUGAUGAGUCCAGACAUUCGGCUGCCGAACUGCAGCUGUUCGGCUGCCUACUGACGGCUUCGCACCUCCUUUUCUCUCCCUCUCUCAUUCUAUCCGCAACAAUACAAACCUUAUCCACCUCGCUUUCCCUCUCGCCCGCUCUCCGCCUCCAUCGGUCCCUCCUUCUCCGUCCCCAGCGUCAUCCUACCUCCGUAGGUGAAGCGACCUCCAGGAUAGCAGAUCUAGCAUGGGUUGGGCUUUUCGUUGCCGGCGCCGGAUCAUUCGCCCCCACCGCGUCCUCCGUCGUCUACCCGCAGUGCCGAGGCACCCAGGGUCAAGCUGGUCGCUAGGGAUCCAGGUCGCCGCCCAGCAUGCCAGUCGGGAUCCGAGCUCGCGGCGGCCGCUAUCUUCACCGCGGCACCCCCCGCCUACCAACUCGAGCAAGAGGUCCUCACUCAGAUCUCCCAUCCGCCAUAUUCUGGCCCUGCCGCCGCCAUAGCCCGAGGAAGCCCCCAUUCAGAUCUAGGCAAUCCUCAUUUUUUGUAGCAGUUUUACCGCUAUAGACUUCUUGCUCAAGCGGAUAUUUUUGUAGCGAUAGUGGUGGUGGUGGUUUGGGGUAAGUACUUCGAUUUUAUGAUUGAGUGUGGGAUAUCUCUGAACCUUUGUAGCAUCUGUAGGGUUGGUUCUAGUAUUAGGGUGCUGACCUUUUGUAUUUCUGCCUUUUACCUUCUUUAAAUUUUGUUAGCUUGGCCUAGUUUCAUCUGCGCCAUUCUACUCUAUCCUAGUUUUAAUCCGUUUCAACAUCUUUUGGUUGAAAUUGCCUGGAUAACCAAAAAUUUUGCUAAUAUACUAUACUAUAUUCAUAGUAAAUGCUCUAUUCUUGGUACAAAUAAAUAUUUUUUCAUAGUAAAUGCUGACAUAUACUUCUUUGAAGUUUUAUUGGAUUAGUAACUAAAUUCUGAUACUCUGCGGAAGUUUUAUUGGAUUAGUAACUAAAUUCUGGUACUCUAGUAGCUUCAAAUGCUACUGGUUUGGUGAAUUGAAAUGUGUAGUAUUUUUUUCUGAAAUAUACAAGUCAGCAUGAUUCUACAAUGUUGUUGUUGCACUGGUGCUUCACCACUGUGUUACCUCAUGCUUUUGCUUGCUGCUAAUUUUUCAUCCAGCAUUUUGACAACACAGUUUCUAAAUUUCAGAUAUUUCCAUACAGAAGGAGUAGCUCAUGUGUUUUCUCAUAACAAAAGAUCAAAUGUUUUAAUUUCUCUUCCCUGUUGAGGUCUUUGUUUGAUGUAAGUAGAACAUCCCGAACUUUACGCAAGUUUUAUUGGAUUAGUAACUAAAUUUUGGUACUCAAGCAGCUUGAUGUGCUACUGGUUUGGUGAAUUGAAAUGUGUAGUAGCUUCUUUCUAAAAUAUACAAGACACAUGUUUUACAUUGUUGUUGCUGCACUGGUGCUUCACCACUAGGUUGCCUCGUGGUUUUGCUUGCUGCUAAUUUUGACAUAUACUUCUUUGAAUGUUAUUAGAUUAGUAACUAAUUUUGACGUAUACUAAAUUCUCAUAGUAAAUAGCUUGUGGUCUUUCUUUUUGUGCUUCACAGUAAAUUUUGACAUAAACUUCUCUGAAUUUUUAUUGGAUUAGUAACUAAAUUCUGGUACAAUGUUGAGUGGAAAUUUGAAGCACUGAUCUGACAAUAUUUUCUUUUGCACAUAUGCAGUCCUUUGCAGCGAGCCUACUUCAAGUGCACUCUUCUCCACACUAGCAUUGUCAUCCACUUCUUCAUGCUCUCCCCCACUAGCCUGUCCAUACAAUCUCCGUUACAAACGCGCCAAGACAACUGCUAAGGCAAGUGACAUGUUCAUUAUGUACUGAGUUUGUCUACUUUUAUGUCUCUUGCGUUUUCUUCUUUGUUAAAUAAAAUUGCAGCUCCUACCUACUCAAACUAUGCAUUGUACAACUGGGCUCAGAUGGCUAACAUCCAUGCCAAUUGGGAUGAGGAGACAACAAAAACGUUCCUCAACCUCUGCAUUGCUGAGAAAAACCAACUGAAUUGGAGCAACAAGUGCCUAACUAAGUUGGGAUGGCAACACGUCUACCACACCUUCAAACAACAGCAACUGAAAAGCUGUUCGGUUGAGAUUGCUGAUGCAGCUGCAGCUGCAGCAGCCAAGUGAGGCGUUUGAGAGGCGUUUGAGACUGGGCUGUGGGCCUUUGGCCUUUAUGCAGCUGCUUGUGCAGCCAGCAGAAGCCAACACACCGAACCUUGCAGUUGCAGGCCAUUGUACGGGCCCUCGAAUUCUAGCGAGUCUCAAUGGAACAUGAGCACUGUAGGACUCCGGAGGUCUUGAGCACUUACAUAUCCUUGCAGCGCAAGAAGUCAAGAACAGCUUCAGCUCUCACCUCUCAGUUCCCCUCACGUAGCCAUCUUACGCUGGCACCGCGGCACCGGCCCAAAUCCUCCGGCAACUGCU